RNAcentral lists this non-coding RNA (118 nucleotides) under Homo sapiens (human). The record is from Rfam by way of RNAcentral. Lineage: Eukaryota; Metazoa; Chordata; Mammalia; Primates; Hominidae.
GCUGGGCAUGGUGGCUCAUGCCUGUAAUCCGAGCACUUUGGGAGGCUGAGGUGGGCGGAUCACCUGAGGUCAGGAGUUCAGAGACCAGCCUGGCCAAGAUGGUGAAACCCCGUCUCUA